This 228-nucleotide ribosomal RNA is filed under the name uncultured bacterium. RNAcentral's name for it is "partial 16S ribosomal RNA". It matches the Rfam family "Bacterial small subunit ribosomal RNA", at positions 568 to 795 of the family's 1533-position model. The record is from RNAcentral.
UGCGCAGGCGGCUUACUAAGUCAGUGGUGAAAUCUUGCGGCUCAACCGUAAAAUUGCCAUUGAUACUGGUAAGCUUGAAUUCAGUUGAGGUUGGCGGAAUGUGUAAUGUAGCGGUGAAAUGCUUAGAUAUUACACAGAACACCGAUUGCGAAGGCAGCUAGCUAAACUGACAUUGACGCUGAGGCACGAAAGCGUGGGGAGCGAACAGGAUUAGAUACCCUGGUAGUC